GGAAGUUAUAUGAUAUAAUCCACAUAUAUUCGGUUCCAUAUAAAGUAAAAGUAGACCGGAAUGUUCAACCAACCCAUUGCAGCUUUAUGAUGAUCACGACGAUAUCUUUCAGACAGAAACUAAGUGGUUUGCAUAGAAACAGAUGACGGACAGGCAGGCAAUCUCGGCUGUUGAUACCAAUCAAAAAUAUUUAUUUUAAGGGGUCAGAGUUGCAGCCUCGUAUUCUUUACACAUUUUAUGUCAAGAGGAACUAGGGUAUACAAACAGUAUAAUAUCAGUAUGAAUUAAGAGCAAACCAAUACUUAAGCUCAUUGGAAAAUACAAAAAUUCUGUAAGAGCAGUUUCAAAUGUUAACCACAAGUUCGCCAAGCUCUUUGUGGCUUGUCGGCUUUAAGGUCUACUCACACAUAGAUGCACACAGACACAGACACACACACACACAUACUGCCACAUAAAUAUCCCAACAUUACCAUUACCGGUCCCAUUUCUCUCCCUUGGCUCCACGUGGUUGCUCCUGCUGACCGGCUAAAGCGAAAAUAAUGAGCCCAAUGUAGCUGGCUAAAGUGUAAGUGUGUUUGUGUGCUUGUGUAAGUGUAAGCUGGAAGCAGGCACAUUGGUAACGCGCAGCAGCAACGCUGAGAGCAGUCGAGUUCAUGUCAAGCUGUCAGUCAAGGUCGAUUUCGUUUGCUGUUUGCCGCUGCCCCUGGCCAGGUGGCAGCUAUGCGCCUUGUGCAACAUGCCAGCACAUCACCAAAGGGCUGUAGCAGUGAGUUAAGCAGGCGCACACACACGUACACAUAAACACAUACACACACACACACACACACACACACACAUGCAUCUGGCCUGGCAAGUGGCUUUUUGUCACUGUCUUCGGGCUGCCAGUGCAAUUUUUAUGCUCGUCAGUGUGUGCCCACCGAGGCAGCAGAUAAAUUGUGUAUACAUCGCAGUAUAUGUGUGCGUGCUCGUGUAUAUGUGUGUGUGCAUGUGUGUGCUUGGGAAUUUUUUCAUCAUUAUCAGUGUCCUUGUAACCGCAUCUGCUGCUGCCACAUGCCACUUAAUGCCAACGCUGCACGUUCCACUUUUGCAUGUCGUCUUCGCCUUUCGCUGCGGCCUUUUGUGGCCGCCGCUGCUGCUGCGUCGCACAAUUGCAUGCCACAGGCCAGCCACAGUGCCGCCGCCCCCAAAACACCCCCAAAUCCGAGGGCAUGGCCAUUAUAUUCAAGCAUUUUUGUGUGGCAUAAGUUGGCACUUUAGCGUCAGGAGGCAGCUGCUACCUGUUCAGUUGCUGUUUCAGUUACAGUUUCAGCUCUCGCCUGGCUCGGGCUUUCGUUUGCUUUAGCCCAGCUCAGGACGUGCCGCCAUUUUGUUGUCCUUGGAUCCGCCUCUGUUACUCCAGCCCGCUACCUUUUAUUUCUCAAUUGGCAAUAUUGGCAAUCGAUAUGUGCGCUAAUAGCUGCGUGCAAAACCAUAGCCACAUGUGUGUGUGUGUAAUGGAUGUUGCACUAUUCGAGCUGCGCCAGGCGAAGGCGUUGCACACGCGGCGUCAGCUGAAAAGAACAACUUUUACCAGCUUGCAAAUUGAAAAAUAGUUUUCCGACAUUGAACAACAAAGUUGCAAAUGACAAUGAUAAACGCAAUUAUUGAUUAGCUCGCCAUUUGUGGGCCCACCUUAAAAUUAGAACUGAGUAGACUUUAAGUAAGCUUAAAGAGGCUCAGUAAAUUCAACAAGUAGGCCGCAGGCAACUCGAAGCAUCAAUGCCAACUUAUUUUCAACUGCAACUACACUCGCAUACGCAGUAAUGAGUACACUGAUUUUUAAAUGCUGAAAGUAAAUAUUAUAUAAAAAGUAGUUCGCCAAUAGUCGUUGACAAUGUCAAGGAUAAUGAGCACAGUUGACUUUGUUUGGCUGUGUUGUGUUCUUCAUCCUUGAUUUAAUAAGUAGGUAAACAGUUGAAUGGUAACAUUUUAUAGACAAUUAGAGCAGCAUGAAAAUGCCUUUCUAGUCCAUUAUAAUUGGACUUUAAACCAAACAAAUAUGCUAAUACGCUGCGAGUGGGUCAGAACCAAAACAAAUACAUUUAGCUAUAGCUUUGGUUAAUUAAAGCCCCUCUUUAUCCAGCCACCGAAACCCGAUUUGAUUGCCUAAAGAGACCAAAUGCAAAACAAAUGAAGCCACUAAAAGCUGCCAAACCGAAAGGCCGACAAAGCACGAAAUGCAGUGCAACAACAACAGUGCUUGGCAAACGAAAACAACAACUGGAGCUGCCAUUGCAAACCAGAAAAAUUCAACCGAGAGAAGCCUUGCACAAAGUUUGUUUUGGAAAAGAGACACAACCAAGGCGACGACAGCAAUGCAAACGAAUAUAUAUAUAUAUAUAUAUAUGCAUAUAGAUAUAUAGACAGAGGGAGAGUGUCGAGGUAGUCAAGCAGGACAAUGUAGCUGAUGAGAAUACGGAUGCACACCAAGAAGAUUAUCCUGUUGCUGUCAAACAGUAACAACAACAACAGCAGCAACCACAAAGAUUUCAAGUGCAUCGCAAGGCCAUAAUCCGCAGAGCCGUAACCGUAACCGCUUUACAGGGCCACGACAGGCGGCGCAGUCCACAGAUUGAGCCACACUCACACACAUACAAACACACACACUGGAGCAGACAUCUCAGUGCUGGCUGUCCGGGCCCGAAUGCCAGGAUACGGGGCUGCCAAAACUGCCAUAACAUGGCUGAUUACCCGCUGCAGUUGCCGCCUCGCUGUUGCAAGUGCCGCAAGCCGUUGAAGUUGCCUAACCGCUGAAACGGCCCCCGGCAAAAGUUUCAUUAAAGUGGCAACUGCCACUAGUCCUACCUCACACCCCCGCGCUCUUUGAUGUAGCUCUUAGCACUCACCUGACUUGACAGCCGGCGCUUAACUUUUUGGCCUUUGUAAUUGCCCUGCACUGAAAAUUGGCAACGUUCUGUUGCAGCAGCUGCAGAUUAAAUUGUUUUCUUUUUUUUGGAGUUCACCAGUUAAGAGAAUUUUUAAAUAUGCUAUCUAAUCAACUGCUACAUAAAUAAGUACUACCUUUGCUUGGGAUCGUGGAAUCGUAGCUGAACGAAAAACAACUUAUUAACUUGUAAGUAGUUCAAAUCAGACGUUAAUUGUAUAUAUCUGCCUAAUAAUAGUAACAUUUAAUAUUGACAUCCUUAACAACAAUCAUAUAAGUGUAUGGGUCACAAAGCAGCAAUUAAAGGCCAAAUGUGGCCACCCCUUAAGCUCAAAUACAAAAUCCCUGCAGCAGUCAGGGUCCAAGAGCUUAAUGGCAUCUCAAUAGGUUGACUUUACAAACGUAUCAAUUUUUGGUCAACAACUUUUUUUAACCCCUCGAUUUUUAAUUUGCUUGAAUGCCAUUUGUAAAGGACGAAUUCAAAAAGAAAUAACCUUUCAAAUCAGACGAUAUAUACCUCAGACAUUGAAAAACAAGUAAGAGGUUCUAGACGGGAGCUCCCGACUGAUUCCUUUCGAUUACGAUUAAUCCAUUGCAAAUUUGGUUUCUCCAGCUCUGAGGGAACUCAGAACUAUGCUAAAAAAAUGCAUACUUUACAAAUGGGAAAGAUAUCGCGAUAAAUUAUAAUAUAGGAUCGUUUGAAGAACAAAUACUAUUUUCCACAUGUACAAUCAUUUAGAGAUGUAACCCAAUCGAUUUCUAUGCCAAUCUAUGUAUAUUUAAUAUUUACCCAAGAAUAACUACAACAACUACAACACAGAAAUAAAGCAUUUGAUGUAGUUGUAAAUGGAUUGUGGCCAGCAAGUAAAAUGUUGUUAUAAAAUGCGCCGGAAGCGCAACAGUCAGCAUCAAAAGUAAAACACCCACACCCAAACACCUCGCUUGCUCCGCCUUUCCCUCUCUUAGUCUCUCUCUCUCUCUCUCACAAUCUCUCUGCCUCUGUCUGUCUGUCUGUCGCAAGCAUACACAAUGCAAAGUAACCAAUUUCAAAGUUGAAUCGUUUAGUGAAAUCACUUGAGGCGAUUAAAAUCAAUCACAGACAAUCAGCGCCAGCUAACUGCAACACCAACAACAUCUUCAACUGGUGGCAAACAGAGGGAGAGCCAGUCAACUGAAGGAUCUGCUGAGCUGUUGAGCAAACGGAGGAGCCAGCUUCUAUGGACAACAUUUUUCAUCUCGCCCCUUUUGCGAUUUUAUUUAAUUUACACUCAUAGCCAAGUCGAGAGCUGUGGCAGCUCUUUCCCUCUGCUCACCUGCUGCUUCAGCUGUUGCUGCGUAGAGAAAAAUUUGAUUUUAAAUUGGUUUUGGCAUCGAUGAGCGUAAAGUUUGUUUGGCUGAAACUAACAAAGUCCAUUUUCAUAUAACAGCAAAACGAAUGAAGGCCAAGGAACUAGGUGUUGUUUGGCAUCAAAAUAGCCACAAGCGAUGUUUUCUUUUUUUUUUAUCAAUAUUAUUCUAAACUGAACAAGAAAAAAUAGCUGCGUUAGAGUUGUCGAAGAUGGAAUACCCUAAAUGAUAAAAUUGUCCGAAAAUGUUGAAUUUAUUUUGAUAUAUUAUUAGCCAUUCUCUGACUAAUAUGAUAAAUUGUUAGUGCAAUGCUGAUGAUUUUUAAUCCCAUAUGAAUCGAACUUUCCCUUAUAUGUUAAAAAACAAAAAAACACAAAAAAAGAAUCUUGUUAUCAAACAGAAUUUGUGACCAAUUGUGUAUAUGGAACCUCGGCUGCUGAUUGUAAUAGGAAAUGUAGUGUGCAUUAAAAAAUACAUGGCAAAAUUUAAAAAUUCUUUGCAGGGGUAUCCAAAUGCAAAAAAAAAAAUAUUUACAACAAAUGUGAACAUUAUUCGACAAUGCCCGACUGGAAUAUACAUCUAAAAGCCCAAUUAAAAAGCAUAAAUAGACUUUAGUCUUCAGAAGUAAACACUAAAAAGACUUCCUAUAUUAUACCCAACAUGAUCAGAGAUUAAUAAUACUUGUACUCUCGGCUGUUGUAAAUAUAACAUAACAACAAGCAGUAGCAUAAACAACUUGCAAAAGUGUCGAUAAAUAUUUGUGGAGGGCAAAUGAAAUUGGUCGGGACAAAAAAAAAAACAGAAUAAUCAUAUGAAACUAAAUGCGAAAAAAGAAA
Drosophila virilis is the source of this 5106-nucleotide non-coding RNA. The record is from RefSeq and is a predicted model, not a curated record. NCBI's taxonomy places the organism in Eukaryota, Metazoa, Arthropoda, Insecta, Diptera, Drosophilidae.